UUCUUCUUGUACAGCCAAAAAAGCAGUGCAUGUCCUAAUGAUUGUAUGCCACAAGUGUGAUACUUGAAUAGAACAGAAUAUAAUACUGUAUUACAUUAUAUAUAUAUAUACACAUAUAUAUAUAUAAUAUUUAUAUUACAUAGGAGUAAAAACCAGAAUACCUUUGAAAGUGAGUACAUUUUUCCAUCAGUUUCCACAUAUUUUAGGUCAAAGCAAAAAGAUGUCUCUCUGCUGAUGUCAUAGCUCAUAGUCAUAACAAACUCAUGGCAAACUGGACUGGAUUCUUUGGGGAAAGAACGUGUUUAGCCACAGAGUAACUGAAAGGAGAGGAAUCUCUGAAGGUACAGGAAGUGCAUCUGCCUACUGAGAGGAGAGAGAGUCAGAACUGGUGGAGAGUUGUACCACCUCCCAGCAACAUCGCGUGUCUCCUUUCCAAAGGGAAACUCUUGUACCUCUGCCUGUUUAAGGGCAAGCCUGCAGGUGCAGAUGUAGAGAGACAUCCACACUUUCAGUCAGCAGAGCAUUCAAUGCCCUCCUGACUGCAAGCUGUCAUUUUUUGUGUUCAGAGUGAAUGAACUAAUGUGAGGACUGCAUUGUGUUGCUCCAGAGCAUGUAAUGCAUCUGAGGGCAUUUGUUUCAUGCCCUGAUAAAUGGCACAGGGAUGUGAUAAAAUAGUUAAGGAUAAAGACCAGAUGGGAUAGUGCAGAGUGAAAGGAAUCAAAACUAGAGCAACCUAAUACAUUGGUAUGUAUUGUGGGGGACACCCCUACCCCAAACCUUAGGGACACCUGAUUGCAGUAGAACAAAACAGAGCCAUGCUAAGGAUCUGCUGCUCAGGUUUGCUCCUGGGACUUCUUACACUUGUUUCUUAGGAAAUAUGUCUGUAGCAUUCACUUCAGGCCUUGUCUAAGCCUCUCUGUCUUAGACAUUUCACAAGCCAGGGUAAUGUCACUGUCUGCACCUCAGACUGGAGAUAACCUUCUGCCAGCCAGAUGUAAAAGCUUUUGAGACACAGCAUUGUCUGUUCUUCUUCUGACCCUCCAUGAGGAUGUGCUAUGCUUGUGUGGGGGGUCUCCUUAUUCAGGCUCGGUUCUGGUGUUCUCAGGUUUUUUUAGAGCACCUUUGAGGCAAGUUAAAGGCCUAUUUUGAGAGACUUCUCUUUAUACAUGGAAGAAU
This 1176-nucleotide long non-coding RNA is filed under the name Cyanistes caeruleus (blue tit). Its description in RNAcentral is "lncRNA (ENSCCEG00000005625.1)". The record is from RNAcentral. Lineage: Eukaryota; Metazoa; Chordata; Aves; Passeriformes; Paridae.